AACAAAUUAUUUUCAGGCCCUGCUAGUCUGUUGGCUGUCUCUUUCUGAUGUGUGAGAGAAAGGGAAUAUUCACUGACCAUUUCAUAAAUUGAAAGGAGACAGAAAACAGUAACUAAAACCUUCAUAAAAACUGAGGUUAAAUUUGAAUUGUAUCAACCAAGAAACAUUCGUGUACAGAUAACCAGUUUUUAAGGACAAAACUCACCUGCUUUUGUUUUAUAUUUUUGCCUUAAAGGUUUUCUAACAAACGUGAUCCUUUUGACUCAUCAACGGGGGAUGAUGAUAAUUUUGAUGACAUGGAAGAAUCAACAGCAUCACUGUUUAGAAAAGCAGCAGAGGGUGAAGGCAGAGGGUGCAAAAAGUAUAAAAGUGGUAAGUUAGUGAAUAUUUCUGAGUGUCUUGUUUAUAUCCUGUUACUUUAAAAGUGU
RNAcentral lists this long non-coding RNA (428 nucleotides) under Fukomys damarensis (Damara mole-rat). RNAcentral's name for it is "lncRNA (ENSFDAG00000023171.1)". The record is from RNAcentral. Lineage: Eukaryota; Metazoa; Chordata; Mammalia; Rodentia; Bathyergidae.